CUUCGGUGGGGAUUAGUGGCGAACGGGUGAGUAACACGUGGGCAAUCUGCCCUGCACUCUGGGACAAGCCCUGGAAACGGGGUCUAAUACCGGAUACUGAUCACUGCAGGCAUCUGUGGUGUUCGAAAGCUCCGGCGGUGCAGGAUGAGCCCGCGGCCUAUCAGCUUGUUGGUGAGGUAAUGGCUCACCAAGGCGACGACGGGUAGCCGGCCUGAGAGGGCGACCGGCCACACUGGGACUGAGACACGGCCCAGACUCCUACGGGAGGCAGCAGUGGGGAAUAUUGCACAAUGGGCGCAAGCCUGAUGCAGCGACGCCGCGUGAGGGAUGACGGCCUUCGGGUUGUAAACCUCUUUCAGCAGGGAAGAAGCGAAAGUGACGGUACCUGCAGAAGAAGCGCCGGCUAACUACGUGCCAGCAGCCGCGGUAAUACGUAGGGCGCGAGCGUUGUCCGGAAUUAUUGGGCGUAAAGAGCUCGUAGGCGGCUUGUCACGUCGGUUGUGAAAGCCCGGGGCUUAACCCCGGGUCUGCAGUCGAUACGGGCAGGCUAGAGUUCGGUAGGGGAGAUCGGAAUUCCUGGUGUAGCGGUGAAAUGCGCAGAUAUCAGGAGGAACACCGGUGGCGAAGGCGGAUCUCUGGGCCGAUACUGACGCUGAGGAGCGAAAGCGUGGGGAGCGAACAGGAUUAGAUACCCUGGUAGUCCACGCCGUAAACGGUGGGCACUAGGUGUGGGC
This 734-nucleotide ribosomal RNA is filed under the name Streptomyces sp. RNAcentral describes it as "bacterial SSU rRNA". It matches the Rfam family "Bacterial small subunit ribosomal RNA", at positions 80 to 827 of the family's 1533-position model. The record is from RNAcentral. Lineage: Bacteria; Bacillati; Actinomycetota; Actinomycetes; Kitasatosporales; Streptomycetaceae.